CAGGCCUAACACAUGCAAGUNGAGCGGNCAUAGCAAUAUGUCAGCGGCAGACGGGUGAGUAACGCGUGGGAACGUACCUUUUGGUUCGGAACAACACAGGGAAACUUGUGCUAAUACCGGAUAAGCCCUUACGGGGAAAGAUUUAUCGCCGAAAGAUCGGCCCGCGUCUGAUUAUCUAGUUGGUGAGGUAAUGGCUCACCAAGGCGACGAUCAGUAGCUGGUCUGAGAGGAUGAUCAGCCACAUUGGGACUGAGACACGGCCCAAACUCCUACGGGAGGCAGCAGUGGGGAAUAUUGGACAAUGGGCGCAAGCCUGAUCCAGCCAUGCCGCGUGAGUGAUGAAGGCCCUAGGGUUGUAAAGCUCUUUUGUGCGGGAAGAUAAUGACGGUACCGCAAGAAUAAGCCCCGGCUAACUUCGUGCCANCAGCCNCGGUAAUAC
Molecule: ribosomal RNA, 439 nt
Filed under: uncultured Bradyrhizobium sp.
Lineage: Bacteria; Pseudomonadati; Pseudomonadota; Alphaproteobacteria; Hyphomicrobiales; Nitrobacteraceae
Description: bacterial SSU rRNA
Rfam family: Bacterial small subunit ribosomal RNA
Source: RNAcentral